UCGAACCCCUAUUUUACCCCUUUGGUGGUCGAAUUUUCAAAAUUCCUUAGCGAAUGUGUACGUCAUAAUGUCUGCAUGCUAAACAGUCCGAUCCAUCCGGUAGUUUCAGCUGUGCCCUGAUAGAUCAGUCAGGCAGUCAGUCAGCUUUUCCUUGUAUA
This is a long non-coding RNA of Maniola jurtina (meadow brown), 158 nucleotides long. RefSeq lists it as uncharacterized. The transcript has 2 exons. The record is from RefSeq and is a predicted model, not a curated record. NCBI's taxonomy places the organism in Eukaryota, Metazoa, Arthropoda, Insecta, Lepidoptera, Nymphalidae.